This 497-nucleotide ribosomal RNA is filed under the name uncultured bacterium. RNAcentral describes it as "partial 16S ribosomal RNA". It matches the Rfam family "Bacterial small subunit ribosomal RNA", at positions 28 to 507 of the family's 1533-position model. The record is from RNAcentral.
GAUGAACGCUGGCGGCGUGCCUAAUACAUGCGAGUCGAGCGAACGGACGAGAAGCUUGCUUUUCUGAUGUUAGCGGCGGACGGGUGAGUAACACGUGGAUAACCUACCUAUAAGACUGGGAUAACUUCGGGAAACCGGAGCUAAUACCGGAUAAUAUUUUGAACCGCAUGGUUCAAAAGUGAAAGACGGUCUUGCUGUCACUUAUAGAUGGAUCCGCGCUGCAUUAGCUAGUUGGUAAGGUAACGGCUUACCAAGGCAACGAUGCAUAGCCGACCUGAGAGGGUGAUCGGCCACACUGGAACUGAGACACGGUCCAGACUCCUACGGGAGGCAGCAGUAGGGAAUCUUCCGCAAUGGGCGAAAGCCUGACGGAGCAACGCCGCGUGAGUGAUGAAGGUCUUCGGAUCGUAAAACUCUGUUAUUAGGGAAGAACAUGUGUGUAAGUAACUGUGCACAUCUUGACGGUACCUAAUCAGAAAGCCACGGCUAACUACGUG